RNAcentral lists this ribosomal RNA (242 nucleotides) under uncultured bacterium. RNAcentral describes it as "partial 16S ribosomal RNA". It matches the Rfam family "Bacterial small subunit ribosomal RNA", at positions 57 to 305 of the family's 1533-position model. The record is from RNAcentral.
GCAAGUCGAGCGAGAAAGUUCCUUCGGGAAUGAGUAGAGCGGCGAACGGGUGAGUAAUGCAUAAGAAUCUGCCUUUUAGUGAAGGAUACCUUUGGGAAACUGAAGUUAAUACUGCAUAUGUCCCUUCGGGGAGAAAGAUGGCCUCUUGCUGUCGCUAAAAGAUGAGCUUAUGUUCUAUUAGUUUGUUGGUGGGGUAAAGGCCUACCAAGACGAUGAUGGAUAGCCGGCCUGAGAGGGUGAAC